AAAAGCCGGUCAAAGGAGAACAAGAAGGGGGCAUCCUGGGUGGCUGCUCCCAGGAAAAAGCCUGGUGGGAGGGCAGGCUCCUUGGACACGGGGACCCAGCUCCCCACCUCAGAGAGGCCUGGGAAAUCAUUCCUGGCAGUCGCCCGGCCUUGCCCAUCGGAUAGUAUUAGGGAGGGUGAGGGAAAACACUUCGUGGUCAGAUCAAUUUGGAAAACUUCCUGUAAAGUCGUGUUUGUUUCAGAGCUUUGACUAGGCUGAUGCGCAGUGUGAAUUUCCAGAAGUGGGCUCAUCAAGCUUUCCAAUUUGAGUCUUCAGAUAGAUGGACAGACCCACACAGGGGACAACAAAUCAACCGGCAAAUGAAGCAUUCAGCCAGCUUGGGAGUUCUGCUUUCCAUUUUAAAUUAAUACACUGGCCUUCUGGUUUGUACAUCGGUUGUCCUCCCAUGGGUCUGGCUGGCAGGCGUUGUUUUCUGAGGGGCUGGCUGU
Molecule: long non-coding RNA, 488 nt
Filed under: Pongo abelii (Sumatran orangutan)
Lineage: Eukaryota; Metazoa; Chordata; Mammalia; Primates; Hominidae
Description: lincRNA
Source: RNAcentral